This 291-nucleotide ribosomal RNA is filed under the name uncultured bacterium. RNAcentral's name for it is "partial 16S ribosomal RNA". It matches the Rfam family "Bacterial small subunit ribosomal RNA", at positions 333 to 616 of the family's 1533-position model. The record is from RNAcentral.
UGAGUCCUACGGGAGGCAGCAGUAGGGAAUCUUCCACAAUGGGCGAAAGCCUGAUGGAGCAACGCCGCGUGGGUGAAGAAGGUCUUCGGAUCGUAAAACCCUGUCGUUAGAGAAGAAAGUGCGUGAGAGUAACUGUUCACGUUUCGACGGUAUCUAACCAGAAAGCCACGGCUAACUACGUGCCAGCAGCCGCGGUAAUACGUAGGUGGCAAGCGUUAUCCGGAUUUAUUGGGCGUAAAGGGAACGAAGGCGGUCUUUUAAGUCUGAUGGGAAAGCCGUCGGCUUAACCGG